UAAACAAAUGUAUACAUGCAUUUUUUAUUAUAUAUUUCUUUCUUUUUCUUUUUCUUUUCUUUUAAUUCAAUAACAUACAUAAAAAAAAUACAAACACACACACACAUCUCUUUUUUAUUAUUUUUUUCUCUUUUCUUUUACAUUCACCUUUACACAAAAUAAAUUCAAAACAAAUAAAUACAAAUUACAUUAAUUAAUUUAAAUUUUACAAAACAGUCCCUAAAAGUCCAGAAAUUGCAUUGAAGGACACUGUCGGAACUGCCUGAACUCGUGGCGGCGCGUGAACCCACGCGCCGCCGCAAACAUGCCGGAAACGGGCGGAUCUGCCCUGUUUCCUCCUCCUCCUCCCUUCUCUGCUGGUGGCAUCCUGCAAAACAAGAAAAAGGAAACGCAGACAGUUCAUUUUAAUCCAUUUCUGUCCAGUUCUUGGAUUUUUCCUUUCUUCUCCAUUUUGGAUCUGCUUCUUUACAGAUCUGUUAUUUUCGUUUCCCCUUGUUCUCUGUUUUAGGCUGCCGGCCGAGUGACCAUAGGGCUGCUGGCGGCGUUCAUGGUGGCUCGCGGGGGGUUGCUGCGAUGGAAGAGGAAAUCGUGGGUCUGCCACCGGUUGAAGGAGAUGAUGUCAGCGUUGCCCCGGCGCUGAAUCUGUUCGGCCGUCGCUGCUGUGGAAGGAAACCGAAGGAGAAGCAGCCGUGGCUGAGGAGAUCGUGACCUGGGAGGCGCCGGAGCUGGAAGCUGUGGGAAAGAAGAGAAAAAUAAAUCAAACCCGCGGGGAAGAAGAGUUGUAGCUGGUUCUCCGUGGGGAAAGGAGAGUGGUGCUGUUGGUGGGUCUGUGUUGAUGACCGGGCUGUGGAGAAGGAAGGAAAAUGAAGGGGAAAAUGGAGAUGACGGUGGGGAAAUGGUCUGUCUUGGCUUCAAUGGUGGCGGCUUCUUCGUGGGCUGAGUUUAGCUGGCCAGAAGAAGGAGAACCGUAGGGAGCUCCAGUGAAGAAGAAGAAGAGGAAGGGUAUGUGCCUGCUGUUUGACUUGGAGAAGGAAGACCUGCUGGCUUCUGUAGGGGAAGAAAAGGAAACGAAAUGGCCGGCUAGAGAGUAGAGAUGGGCUGAUGGUCUUCACUCUUGCUGUCAACAGCAGUGCCUGGGCUUCUUGCUGCCGUCCGUGAGUCUUAUGGAGGGAAACAGAGAGAGCUGUGUCUCUGUUCGGUCGUGUCUUGCUCCUGCAACUGCGAGGGAAGAGGAGUUGUGGCUGCUGUUUGACUUGGAGAAGGAGCCGAAAAUUUAAAACCUCAAAGCAGGGGUUUCACUAGAUUUUCUUUGUCGAAGGAGGGAGUAUUGCUUUUUUUUUUUUAUCCGGGGGGUGAGCAGAGGCUUAAGGUGAACCGGAUGAAGGAGAAGAGAAAAAAAAAAUCAAAAGGGAAAGUGUCUAAGGGAGCUGGCAGCUGUCAUCGUAGAGGAAGGAAAAAAUUUCCAAAAAAAGGGGGGGGUCUCCCUGGCGGCUGCUUUCAGCAGGGAAGAAGAAAAGUUUAGUUUUUUAGGGUUUUCUCUUUCCUUCCAAAAUUACAAAAUGAACCCCCCCUAAUUUUGAGUUAAAAACUGCUAUUUAUAGGCAAAAUAAUUUUUCGAGCUUCCAAAUUGGUCCCUCAAUUUUUGUGUUCAAUUCAUUUGGUAAAAAUUAAAUUUGGUCUUAAAAUUUCAAUCUUUUCAAUUCAGUCCAAAUUAAGCUCCCAAACUUAAUUUUUCACCAAUUAAGCCCUCAAAUUAAUUUGACCCAUUUAAAGUAUAAUUAAGUCCUUGCACUUAAUUAAAUCCUUCAAUUGGACCCAAAUUAAUUCUUAAACAUAAUUAAAAUUUAAUUUGGCCCAUGAUUAAAUCAAAUUGGCCUAUUAAAAAUUUAAUUAUGUCAUUGGACUUAAUUUUUAUGCAAAUUCAUCCAAUAAUCAUUUUAUUUGACCUUCGAAUUUGCAUUUAAUUUGACCUUCGAUUUUUUGCCUAUUUUUGCAGUGUUUGUUUAUCGGCUUUCUCCACAGUGCCAACCUUUAUUUUAUUUUUUGAUUUUUUUUAUUGUUAUUUUUUAAAGUAAAAUUUGGGGAAUAACCCAAAAUUGGGUUAUGACAGUUGCCCCCCUCUUUACAAUGCUUAUGAUAGAAAGUCUCCUACGAGACUUUAGAUAGUAAGCGUUGUAAAGAAGAAAAAAGGAAGAUUUUUUUUUUGAAAUGGUCGAAUUGUCAUGGGUGACCUACCCGGGUGAAAAACACGAAGAUGUUUUAAAGUGGUGAAAAAUACAGAGAUUUUUCAAAGUGGUGAGAAAUGCGAGGAUUUCUCAAAAUGGUGAAAAAUGCAAAGUUUUUUUCAAAGUGGUCUUGUUGUAAUGGGUGACCUACCCAGGCGAAAGGUGUUGAAAAAUACAAAGAUUUUUCCAAAGAGGUGAAAAAUGCAGAGAUUUUUCAAAGUGGUGAGAAAUGCGAAGACUUCUCAAGGUGGUGAAAGAUGCAAAGAUUUUUCAAAGCGGUGAGAGAUGCAAAGAUUUCUCAAAGUGGUGAGAGAUGCAAAGAUUUCUCAAAGUGGUGACAAAUGCAGAGAUUUUUCAAAGUGGUGAGAAAUGCGAAGAUUUCUCAAAGCGGUCUUAUUGUGAUGGGCGACCUGCCCAGGUGGAAAGUGAUGAAAAAUGCAAAGAUUUUUCAAAGUGGUUGAGAAAUGCGAAGAUUUAUCAAGAUGGUAAAAAUUUUUGGAGGUGGUGAGAAAUGAAAAGAUUUCUCAAAAUGGUUUUAUUGUUAUGGGCAACCGGCCCAAGUGAAAAAGUUUGAAAGUGGGGAGAAAUGCAAGGAUUUCUCAAAAUGGUUUUAUUGUUAUGGGCAACCGGCCCAAAUGAAAGAAUUUUGAAGGUGGGGAGAAAUGCAAGGACUUCUCAAAAUGGUUUCAUUGUUAUGGGCAACCGGCCUAAAUGGAAGAAUUUUGAAGAUGGGGAGAAAUGCAAGGACUUCUCAAAAUGGUUUCAUUGUUAUGGGCAACCGGCCCAAAUGGAAGAUGAAAAGAGUUUUUGAAAAAGGUCUGAUUAUAAUGGGUGACCUGCCUGGGCGAAAAGGCAAAAUGUCUAAAAGGGACGACAUGAUAGGACUCGAUGGGGAACGAGGGCUGAAGAGCACACUCGAAAGGAGGUAGGGUUAGAAAAACAUACUACCUAAGAGGUGAGUGCUCCAAGACGCACUCUAAAGGAGGUAAAUAGGGCUAGAAAGCACACUACAUUAGAGGUGAGGGCUCGAAGGAGCUCUCAAAAGAGGCAAGGUUGGAAAACGCACUACCUUAGGGGGUUGAUGACCCUAAGGCGCACUCUAAGGGAGAUAGGGUUGGAAAACGCACUACCUGAAGGGUUGAUGGCUCUAAGGCGCACUUAAAAGGAGAUAGAGUUGGAAAAUCCACUACCUAAAGUGGUCGAAGGCUCUAAAGCGCACUCAAAAGGAGGUAUGGUUAGAAAACGCACUAUCUAAAGCGGUGAGAGCUCGAAGGAGCACUCAAAAUGGGAGGUAGGGUCAGAAAACACACUACUUAAAAGGGUUGUUAGCUCGAAGGCGCACUAAAAAAAAGAGGCAGGGUUGGAAAACGCACUACCUAAAAGGUUAAUGCUCAAAGGCAUACUAAAAAAGGAGGCAGGGUUGGAAAACACACUACCUAAAGGUGAUCGAGGGCUCAAAGGUGCACUUGAAAAGAGGUAAGGAGGUAAGGUUGGAAAAUGCACUACCUAAAGUGGUUGAAGGCCCUAAGGCGCCCUCAAAAGAGGAGGUAGGGUCAGAAAACUCACUACCUAAGAUGGUUGAUGGCCCUAAGGCGCACUUAAAAGGAGAUAGGGUUGGAAAACGCACUACCUAAGAUGUGAGGGCUCGAAGCGUACUCAAAAGGAGGUAAGGUUGGAAAACGCACUACCUAUAGGUGAUCGAGGGCCAGAAGGUGCACUCGAAAAGAGGUAAGGAGGUAAGGUUGGAAAACGCACUACCUAAGGUGGUUGAUGGCCCUAAGGCGCACUUAAAAAGAGAUAGGGUUGGAAAACGCACACCUAAGGGUUGAGGGCUCUAAAGCGCACUAAAAGGAGAUAGGGUUGAAAAACCACUACUUAUAAGGUGAGGGCUAAAAGCGCCUCAAAAGGAGGUAGGGUUGGAAAACACACUACCUAAAAGGUUAGGGCUCGAAGGCACACUAAAAGAGGUAGGGUUAGAAAACACACUACCUAAGGGGCGAGGGCUAAAAGGCCUCAAAGGAGGUAGGGUUGGAAAACACACUACCUAAAAGGUUAGGGCUCGAAGGCACACUAAAAAGAGGUAUGGUGAGACACCGAUCUAUCAAGGAUGAAAGUAAUGCAUCAUGAACAAUAUGCAUGUAUACUUACCUGAGAAGUAUAGGUCCCCUUUUCUUCAUAAAGUUCUCUUUCUCAAAGUUUGAGUCUCUGAUAGUAAGCUUUGAUGGCUUUUGUCCCCUAGCUUACUCGAGAAAUAUCUUACGAUCUUGGCCUCUAUGAAAGUUGAUGUCAUCACUUCUUUGUUCUCCGGCCCUUUUAUCUCAAGGGUUGCCAAUUUUGCCCAAUAGUUUCUUAGAAAGGGAAUCAUGGAGCAGCUCUACCAGAUGUUUUUGAUUGCCCCUAGCUUGAUCAUGCCCCCAAGUAUUCAAUCGGGUUUGGGGAUGAGGCUAUUGAAGGAAGGUUUGACAAGGAGUUGUUUUCAUGCAGAAUUUUUGGAAUUUCAAAGCUAUUCCAGACACAGAAAUCAUUUUAACAUCGAUUCAAAGCGAACUCAUUCUGAAGAAAUUCAAGUGAUUCCUAUGGAGAGGUUUUCAGAAGUGAUGAAAACUUUUUGUUUUGAUUUUGGUGAAAAAAUAUGAAGUGACAUUUGGUUGGUCACAAAAAGUUGAAAUUUCAAUGAAGUGACAUCUGGUUGGUCACAAAAGGUUUAAAUUUCAAUGAAGUGACAUCUGGUUGGUCACAAAAGGUUUAAAUUUCAAUGAAGUGACAUCUGGUUGGUCACAAAAGGUUUAAAUUUCAAUGAAGUGACAUCUGGUUGGUCACAAAAGGUUUGAAUUUCAAUUUGAGGGUUAUUGAGAACCGUUUUCAAAGCAGUCAUUUUAUUUGCAUGAAUAAUGAUUUUAUUUCGCAUGAGAAAGCACUGCCUACCGAUCCAGAUUGCUUGCCUUUGAUCAGAAAGGGCUUCAUUAGGCACGUAAUGUAGGCUUGGGCUUUUGGCUAUGAAGAAAAUGAUAUAUGUAGGCUCAAAAGGUGUUUAAGGGACUUUAAGACUAAGGAUCACAAGUGCUUAUAUCCCAAACUCUUUUGUUCAUACAUUUCUGGACCUUGGAUUUGAUUUGUAAAAUGGUCCACGGUGCCCCAAGUGUUGGGGUUGGGUUCUUUCUCUUUGUCUUGGUUUUCUUCAUUUGCUUUUGAGCAUUAUUGCAUUGGCCUUGUUUUUUUUUUGCUCAAAUUUUGGAUCCUUUGGAUUUUUUUCAUGCCCCUAGCUUUGUAUGGGCACCUUUGAUGAUUGAGAAUUUUCUUUUAUGCCCCCCAGUAUUGUUUGGGCACUUUCAUUGUUGAAGACUUUUUCAUGCCCCCAAGAGUUAUUUGGGCACUUUCAAUCAUUAUGGAUUUUUUUGCACUUGCCCCCCAGUGUAGGGUGUGAUCCUAGCCAAGGUUAUUUUUCAAGAAAAAUUUAUUAGGCUCAAAAGGGGACUGCAAAUGAUAUAUUUCAGCCUUGUGAAAGGAUUAUCAAAGAUGGCCUUUCUUCAUCUCAAAUGCAUGCAUUUAGGAUCGGUAAGCCUUGCUUUCAUGCGAGUAUGCAGAGUGAUUUCUCAUUAUUCAUGCAAUAAAACUCAGCUUUUGGAGUCACUUCAUGGUGUUUUUUUUUUUUUUGGGUUUUCUAGGUGUAUGGUUACCUCUCUAAGGAAUCACCUGAAUUUCCAAAACUCGUUUGUUUCGACAAACUUCAACAUGAUUUCUGUUUUUGUACUAAACUUUGAAUUCCCAAAAAUCCUUGUGAAAACAUGGGGCCAUGUUUUGUUUUGGGAAGAAAAGGGAAACGCACCACAAGAUUUUGGGCGCGAUGGUUUCAUGCUUAAAGGUUAUGCUCAAUGUGUUAUUUGCAUGAAACAACAAAAAUGAUGGCAUGUGAUGAACACAGCAAAACACAUGAUAAAGGCUCAGUGGACAGGGAAAGUCUUGUGGAAUUUUGAGCCAAAUUACCAAAAAAACUGGAAUAGGUUGAAACAAAAAAUCAAGUUUUUGGAGGCAUGAUCAAACAGAGGUAGUUAUUUUGGCAGAGCAAGAACAGGCUCCAUUCUGCAACGGUGAUGCAAUUCCCCUUCAGAUUGUGUUGAGGCUCUUGAUCAUGUGGCCCCCAAUUUCUUCGGGUUGAGUUGGGGCUGAACAAAAAUGACUGGCCGAUUGGAAGGACCUUCACUAGAGGCAUUUCUAAGUGUUUGCUCGAGUAAGCUAGUGAGGUGAGCCACACUUGCUUUCAGAGACUCUAAUUCUUCUUGGAAAUGGAUGUUGCGGUGAGCACGCUCUUUGUCUCCAAUGUUUUUCUCUCAAAAUCAGGUGUUGUAGACUCGGAGGGGACCUACUUUUUAUUCUGGUGCAUGCAUGACAAAUGUAUGAACAUGAAGUCUAUAUGAUGAACUCGCCCUUCGAGGGGUGACAACAUGGUCGUAACUCUUGUAUGAUGGAACAAGAAUUGUGAAUUUUUUUGCCCAAACUCUACAAUGAAAAUUUUCCGAGUGACGACCCAUGUGUCACCCACAAAUCUUGAGUUCAAGAUGAUUCAAGAAGGGUUCGCCCUGAUGCAAAUAAAUGAUAGCACAUACAACCUAAGGACAUGUUCUAUUGAUUGUGUGAACAUGGGUAGGUUUUCUACCUGGUCUCAAAAAGGGUCUAUGAACUGCCCAGUGACGACCUCACGUGAAGGCAGUAUAGGGGUUUACAAGGAAUGGUUGGGGCACCAUGUGACCGCCAUUACCGAGUAAACACUCAGCUCAUAGUUGGAUGUUUCACAAAUCUGAACCCCGACUGAAAGUCAUGAGGUAGACUGCUACUCCCCACCUAACUUAGAAGCUUGUGUGUGCUUUCAAAAAUAAAUACAAGUGAUGCAUGAAACAAUUCUAAAAAUGCAUGCAUAAAAUAAAGCAAGACAAAAAUGGCAAAAAUUAAACACAUCAAGUACACAAAGCUUAGUCCAAAAUUGUCAGAAACAAUACCUCCCCAGUGGAGUCGCCAUUCUGUCGCACGUCGAAAAAUCCCGCGCGCGGCAUCGGCUGGCGAUUUAUGUCUCGUUGUUGCAUUGCUUGAAUUGGUUCGUUAGGAGUCGCCACCUAGUAUUUAAUUGAGGUUACUAGGAAACCCUGGUGGACUGGUCAUGGUCAAGAUUCGCGGGUAAGGGACUGAUUGUGGUUAGGGAAGGUGUUAGCACCCCUAACGCACCCUACCUGAGGUAAGCUGCUCCGUGGACUUGAUGUGUUAAAGAAGUUUUAAAAAUUUUGUCUUUUCAUCGGAUUUUAAAAAUACAACUUCCGUACAAGUUUGUAUUUCUACACCGUGAUCCAAUCAAAAUAUUAAAUCCUUCUUUAUUCUUUGCUGUCUCAUCAAAAAAACAAUUCAUUAAACAAAUGUAACAUGCAUUUUUAUUAUAUAUUUCUUUCUUUCUUUUUCUUUUCUUUUAAUUCAAUAACAUACAUAAAAAAAAUACAAACACACACACACAUCUCUUUUAUUAUUUUUUUCUCUUUUCUUUUACAUUCACCUUUACACAAAAUAAAUUCAAAACAAAUAAAUACAAAUUACAUUAAUUAAUUUAAAUUUUACAAAACAGUCCCUAAAAGUCCAGAAAUUGCAUUGAAGGACACUGUCGGAACUGCCUGAACUCGUGGCGGCGCGUGAACCCACGCGCCGCCGCAAACAUGCCGGAAACGGGCGGAUCUGCCCUGUUUCCUCC
This 7953-nucleotide long non-coding RNA is filed under the name Populus tremula. RNAcentral describes it as "long non-coding RNA (PTRE_LNC000549)". Lineage: Eukaryota; Viridiplantae; Streptophyta; Magnoliopsida; Malpighiales; Salicaceae. The record is from RNAcentral.